RNAcentral lists this ribosomal RNA (694 nucleotides) under uncultured bacterium. RNAcentral's name for it is "bacterial SSU rRNA". It matches the Rfam family "Bacterial small subunit ribosomal RNA", at positions 560 to 1363 of the family's 1533-position model. The record is from RNAcentral.
GUAAAGCGUUCGUAGGCGGUUUAGAAAGUUUGUAGUUAAAUAUGGUGGAAAAACGUUCAAGUCGUUACAAAAACUCCUAAACUAGAGAUUGGCAGAGGCAACUGGAAUUCCACAUGUAGGGGUAAAAUCCGUUGAUAUGUGGAGGAACACCAAAAGCGAAGGCAGGUUGCUGGGCCAUUUCUGACGUUGAGGAACGAAAGCGUGGGGAGCAAACAGGAUUAGAUACCCUGGUAGUCCACGCCGUAAACGAUGGAUACUCGAUGUAGGGAGGAAUCGACCCCUCUCUGUGUCCAAGCUAACGCGUUAAGUAUCCCGCCUGGGGAGUACGGUCGCAAGAUUAAAACUCAAAGGAAUAGACGGGGACCCACACAAGCGGUGGAGCAUGUGGUUUAAUUCGACACUAAACGGGGAACCUUACCAAGGCUUGACAUCUCCGGAAUCUCGAGGAAACUUGAGAGUGCCGUAAGGAACUGGAUGACAGGUGCUGCAUGGUCGUCGUCAGCUCGUGCCUUGAGGUGUUCGGUUAAGUCCGUAAACGAGCGCAACCCAUGUCUUAUGUUGCAUAUUUCAUAAGAGACUGCCGGCUCCAAGUCGGAGGAAGGUAUGGAUGACGUCAGAUCAGCAUGGCCCUUAUGCCUUGGGCCACACCUAAAAAAUAAGCUUUGGGGCCGCUAAUUCAAUGGGUUCCCCAUUG